GCCAUGCUGCCUCCCCAAGCCUUCCCCCCACCUCUGUUCCAGGGCUCAGGGAGGCCUGCUCUGCCCAGGGCCUAACAGCUGUGGGGGGCUGGCAUCUGGCGGGGCUGACUCCCAAACCCGGCCUUUCCCACCUCAGCUUCUUUCUAGGUCAGGAUCACGCUGGGUCCCCUGAGCUGAUGUCAGGGCGUUGCUUCUGGAGGGUCUGCUCCUGCCUUUCCCGGCGUCUUGAGGUCGCCCAGAGUCCUUGGCUUGUGGCUCCUGCCUACGUCUCCUAAGAGAAACUGCGGUCAGGGCAUACGUGCACCCAAAGUCACGGCAACUGAGCUGGGAUUUAAUGCAUGUCGGGAAAAAGCUCUCAGGAGGGAAACGAAGAACUUUCUGAAAGCUCUCAUAGGGCUUCCCUUAUGACUCAGCGGUGAGGAGGCUGCCUGCCAACGCAGGGGAUGCAGGUUUGAUCCCUGGUCUGGGAAGAUGCCACAGGCCGCCGAGCAACUGGGCCAGCGCACCGCAACUACUGAGCCUGCGCUCUGGAGCCCGGCAACCGCAAGGACUGAGCCCACGCGCAGCAACUAUGGAGGCCGCACACCCAGUGCCGGGCCCUGUCCUAAGAGAAGCCACUGCAGUGAGAAGCCAGCGCACCGCAACUGGAGAGCAGCCCCCGCUCACCGCCACCGGAGGAAGCAACCAAGACCCGGCACAGCCAAACAUAAAUAAAUUAAUCUUUUAAAAAAAGCUCUCAGUUGUUAAAUACUAAAAUAUGUUAUUUCUAAGUCCAUCCAUUAUAAAUUUCCCCCUGAACGAUUCCCAGGUAAUAUUAUCAGCAACAAAUUAUAAACAACUAUAAAACGGCUCAAGAAGAGAAUAUAUAUUACAGGAGUCCCCUUUUUUUUUUUUUUGGGGCAGAGAGGCUUGAGGGAUCUUAGUUCCUAGACCAGGGAUUGAACCCAGGUCCUGGUAGUGAGAGAAUGGAGCCUCUUGGGAAUGCUUAGCAAGCUGUCCUUUUGAAAUGAGAGCUACCAGAUGGGAUACAGCAAAAGUAUUGGAGCUUCAGCUUCAGCAUCAGUCCUUCCAAGGAAUAUUCAGGGUUGAUUUCCUUUAGGGUGGACUGGUUGGAUCUCCUUGCAGUCCAAGGGACUCUCAAGAGUCUUCCCCAGCACCACAGUUGGAAAGCAACAACUCUUUGGCACUCAGCCUUCUUUAGGGUCCAACUGUCACAUUCUGGUAAGAUGGGGAUGAGAAGGCGGCCCAGGGAGAAAUCCCCCAAACUCCCACAGCGACUCAGUGGCAAAGAUGGGGUUUGAACUUGAAUUUGGAAACCCCAUGGACUGGACAGAGGAGCCUGGGGGGCUACGGUCCAUGCGGUCACAAAGAGUUGGACACGACUUAGCGACUAAACAAUGCCCGAAUCCAGGCCUUUGCUUCCCGGGCCCGUUCAUCAUCCAGCCAUGCCCCGGGUGGCAGCCCAGUAGGCAGUGGCCGAAGCCCAGCCAGGCACAGGGCUCAGAGGGGGCACCAGGCCAGCCGCAGCACGGUAGCAGCGGGCACUGAGUGUGGCGGCCUGCAUGGGCAUGACCCGUGCCAGCAGUAGGCAGC
This is a long non-coding RNA of Bos taurus (domestic cattle), 1593 nucleotides long. The record is from Ensembl. Lineage: Eukaryota; Metazoa; Chordata; Mammalia; Artiodactyla; Bovidae.